GCCGGGAGUGAUGGUUCAUGCCUGUAAUCCCAGCUACUCAGGAGGCUGAGGCAGGAGAAUCGCUUGAACCUGGGAUGCGGAGGCUGCAGUGAGCCAAGAUCAUGCCACUGCACUCUACCCUGGGCAACAGAGUGAGACUCUGUCUCAA
Macaca fascicularis (crab-eating macaque) is the source of this 148-nucleotide unclassified non-coding RNA. It matches the Rfam family "Metazoan signal recognition particle RNA". Rfam says of the family: The signal recognition particle (SRP) is a universally conserved ribonucleoprotein. It is involved in the co-translational targeting of proteins to membranes. The eukaryotic SRP consists of a 300-nucleotide 7S RNA and six proteins: SRPs 72, 68, 54, 19, 14, and 9. Lineage: Eukaryota; Metazoa; Chordata; Mammalia; Primates; Cercopithecidae. The record is from Ensembl.